RNAcentral lists this ribosomal RNA (509 nucleotides) under uncultured Alistipes sp. RNAcentral describes it as "bacterial SSU rRNA". It matches the Rfam family "Bacterial small subunit ribosomal RNA", at positions 1 to 507 of the family's 1533-position model. The record is from RNAcentral. Lineage: Bacteria; Pseudomonadati; Bacteroidota; Bacteroidia; Bacteroidales; Rikenellaceae.
CGUAGAGUUUGAUCCUGGCUCAGGAUGAACGCUAGCGGCAGGCUUAACACAUGCAAGUCGAGGGGCAGCGAGAUCAGUGCUUGCACUGAUUGUCGGCGACGGCGCACGGGUGCGUAACGCGUAUGCAACUACCCAUUACAGGGGGAUAACACUGAGAAAUCGGUACUAAUACCCCAUAACAUCCAGGGAGGCAUCUUCUUGGGUUGAAAACUCCGGUGGUAAUGGAUGGGCAUGCGUUGUAUUAGUUAGUUGGUGGGGUAACGGCUCACCAAGACAACGAUACAUAGGGGGACUGAGAGGUUAACCCCCACAUUGGUACUGAGACACGGACCAAACUCCUACGGGAGGCAGCAGUGAGGAAUAUUGGUCAAUGGACGCAAGUCUGAACCAGCCAUGCCGCGUGCAGGAAGACGGCCCUAUGAGUUGUAAACUGCUUUUGUACGAGGGUAAACUCGGAUACGUGUAUCCGUUUGAAAGUAUCGUACGAAUAAGGAUCGGCUAACUCCGUG